GCUCAGGACGAACGCUGGCGGCGUGCCUAAUACAUGCAAGUUGAACGCUUGAUUUUCACCGAAGCUUGCUUCACCGAAAAUCAAGAGUAGCGAACGGGUGAGUAACGCGUGGGUAACCUACCUAUCAGCGGGGGAUAACUAUUGGAAACGAUAGCUAAUACCGCAUAACAAUGUUGGAUGCAUAUUCGACAUUUGAAAGUACCAAAUGGUACACUGAGAGAUGGACCCGCGUUGUAUUAGCUAGUUGGUAGUGUAAUGGACUACCAAGGCGAUGAUACAUAGCCGACCUGAGAGGGUGAUCGGCCACAUUGGGACUGAGACACGGCCCAAACUCCUACGGGAGGCAGCAGUAGGGAAUCUUCGGCAAUGGACGAAAGUCUGACCGAGCAACGCCGCGUGAGUGAAGAAGGUUUUCGGAUCGUAAAACUCUGUUGUUAGAGAAGAACGUUGCAUAGAGUGGAAAAUUAUGCAAGUGACGGUAUCUAACCAGAAAGGGACGGCUAACUACGUGCCAGCAGCCGCGGUAAUACGUAGGUCCCGAGCGUUGUCCGGAUUUAUUGGGCGUAAAGCGAGCGCAGGUGGUUUAAUAAGUCUGAUGUAAAAGGCAGUGGCUCAACCAUUGUGUGCAUUGGAAACUGUUAGACUUGAGUGCAGUAGAGGAGAGUGGAAUUCCAUGUGUAGCGGUGAAAUGCGUAGAUAUAUGGAGGAACACCGGUGGCGAAAGCGGCUCUCUGGAC
RNAcentral lists this ribosomal RNA (737 nucleotides) under Pseudolactococcus raffinolactis. RNAcentral describes it as "bacterial SSU rRNA". It matches the Rfam family "Bacterial small subunit ribosomal RNA", at positions 22 to 734 of the family's 1533-position model. Lineage: Bacteria; Bacillati; Bacillota; Bacilli; Lactobacillales; Streptococcaceae. The record is from RNAcentral.